This is a non-coding RNA of Cadophora malorum, 87 nucleotides long. The record is from the annotation of a GenBank genome assembly. Lineage: Eukaryota; Fungi; Ascomycota; Leotiomycetes; Helotiales; Ploettnerulaceae.
GCAGUCUAGGGGUAUGAUUUUCGUUUCGCAGCCUGUUAACGCAGCUGAAUAUAUGAAAGGUCAGGGGUUCAAUUCCCCUGUCGUCCA